GCCUUCUGGGAAAUGAUAUAUAAUGAAUUAAAAAAGGUAUUGAAAUAUACUUUUCUAAAGAAACCAGAGGCCUUCCUCUUGGGCAUGGUCGGCCAAUUGGUGCGAAGGGAAGAUAGAACUUUUUCAUGUAUGCGACAGCAGCAGCAAGAAUACUCAUUGGGAAAUACUGGAAGACACAAGAAUUGCCUACCCGAGAAGAAUGGCAGAUGAAAGUGAUGGACUAUAUGGAAUUGGCUGAGAUGACCGGCAGAAUUCGAGACCGGGGAGAGGGGUCGAUGGAAGAAGAUUGGUAAAAUUUAAAAUAUAUCUUCAAAAAUAUUGCAACAUAAAAGAAUGUUAGAAAGAGGUUGGAAAAAGAAUAUUAGGUCGUUUUGGCAGAUAUGAUAUAAUGGAUUAAGUAAAAAUGAAAUAUAGAAAUUGAUGAAAUUGAGGAGGAUUAAUUAUAUUAUUGAAUGUUAAAAUAAGUAAAUGAAAAGAAGGUUAGAAGGAUCUGCUGGAAAUACGAUUUGAACUAGAAUACAGGGCUGGGAGGUGGGAGGAGGUCAUGGAAAUAAGUAAAAGGAAAAAAGGUUAGGUAAAGGUUUAAUCUGUUUUUUGCUUUAUCUUAAUGUAAUGUAUUUUUAUACUUUUUGUUAAGUUUUUCUUAUUGUCUGUUUUUUGUUAUAUGUGUAUUUUAUUUUGUAUGGCUUUUCUUUUCUUUUUUGUAAUUUUAAAUUUGGAAUAAAUAUCAUUUAAAAAAAAAAGAGAGAUUUUUUAUUUCAUUUUUUGUAUUUCGCUUCCUAUAAUUCCUAAUAGGGAGGCUUCUGGUUUUUUGACGAAGGAUAUUUUAAACAUUUUCUUUAGUUCAUUAUAUAUCAUUUCCCAUUUUUAAAAUAAUUAUACAUUGCCACCACAUAUGAUAAAAUGUACCUACUACUUCUUUACAUUUCCAACAUUUCUUAUCUUCUGAUUUAUACAUUUGUGAUAAUUUCACUGGUGUUAAAUACCACCUACACAUCAUUUUCAUGUAAUUUUAUUUUAUCAAUGUACAGGCCGUAAAUUUCAAAUUAUUUCUCCACUAUUUCCCCCAAUCUGACAUUUGAAUAUUAUGUCCCACAUCCAAGCGGGUGGUUCAAGGGGCCACGGUCUUGCAGAUAGGUGCCAUCCUGGAAAGUAACCUGCAUGCAAGGCACAACCAUACUGACUAUUGUUCCUCUGUUUCUCCAUGCCCCAGGUCCAGUGGACGGGCUGAAGAACCAGAAGUUCUUUUGACGAACUUCGGAUUAACUACAUCAAGGAACUAGAUCACACCAUUGCUUGCGAGAGGAAGAACCCUACUUCCUGCUCCUGGCAUUUCUACCAGCUCACUAAGCUCCUAGAGUCUGUGCAGCCUGUAAGUAAGAGGAGAAGGGAAGAGAAAGAGGUUGGCCACACAAAGGGCAAGAUCUUUUGUUAAUCUUUUGAUCAAAACCCCACAGAAUCUGCUGUUGAACUUGCGGGGGGGGGGGUCAAGGAGAGGAGAACAGACACCAGCAAACCUGUAAAAAUGAGCUCUGGGAGCAAAUCUGCGGAAAGUCACUGUGACCUCACAGUCAUUUCCUCCAAGAGGCAACUGUGCAGUCAAAGAGAUAGAUGCUUGUGGCACCCUAAAUGGCCUCAGCCUAGGAUACUUAAAGGAGCAUCUCCACCCCCAUCAUUCAGCCUGGACACUGAGGUCCCGCUCCGAGGGCCUUCUGGCAGUUCCCUCACUGCGAGAAGUGAGGUUACAAGGAACCAGGCAGUGGGCCUUCUCAGUAGUGGCACCCGCCCUGUGGAAGGCCCUCCCAUCAGAUGUCAAGUAAAUAACAACUUUAAAAGGCAUCUGAAGGCAGCCCUGUAUGGGGAAGUUUUUAAUGUCUGAUAUUUUAUCGUGGGUUUUUUUGUUUUUUUUAUAAGAUAUUUAUUGAGAUUUUCAAAAUGUUACAAAAUAAAAAUAAAAAAAAAGAAAAUACAAAAUAAAAAUGGUUAACAAAGUAAACAAAGAGAGAAACAAACCCUUCCAACAAUACAAAUACAAAUUCAAAUGAAGAAAAAAAAUCAGAAAAAACAAAAAUACACCACAAACAUUUAAAAACAUUUAAAAACAAAUUCAUUAUUCUCAAAUCCUCAACUGUCAUUACCUUCUUUCUUUGACCUCCUCCUCCCUUUCUUUGUAUCCUAGUUAUUAAUUAUCCCAGCAAAUCCUUUCCAUAUUUCAUAAUAUUCUGUCGCUACAUUACCUUAAACUGUUUUAAUCUUGUCUUUUUAUAAAAAAACCUUAAAACUUAAAGCUUAAAUCUUAUCCUUACCAACUUCUCAUAACCAUAAUAUUCUUUCAUAAUUCUUUAAGCAUCUUUACUAAAGCCGAGUAAUUUCAUUCCAACAUUUUUCUAACAUUCAUCAAUUUUAUAAAACAGUCCUAAUAGUAAAAAAAAAAGAAAUACAAACAAAUCCAAUCUUCAUCCAGCGUCCCUUCCUCCUGGUCCCGGGUUUUGUCACUCCUUAUUAUCCCAUCGAUCUAGCGCAUUAACCUGGCAACCUUAUAUCCGAGGCCCUCAAGUCUCUUCCAUGUCCCUUCCGCAGCUCUUCUUCAUAUUUGUAACUGUAUUUUCCCUUGUCUCCUGCUCGUGGUAACUCCAGCUUGACAAUAUUUUUGACCCUUCUCGACAGAUCAGCCCCUUUUCCAUAUUCAACACUAAAUUCCAUGUGAUAUUUAAAAACAUGUUUCAAAAACCCUCCAAAAUUAAGAGCCCCCACAAUCCCAAACAUCUCACGGCCCAUUGCCAGAUUUGAAAAGUCCAAACAUCCCAGCAUAGGGGGGUCAAUCCAGCCCCCCAUUUCCAAGCCAAACCAAACUUUUUCUUUCCAAAUCUGGCUUUUUCCAAGUUCAUUUGUCAAAUCCGAAAGCUCAUAUUCCUGUUGGGCCUGUUCUGUCAGGACACACUCCUGAUUUAAUUCCUGGGUGGGCUCCACAUAUUUUCCCACUGUCUGUUCAAAAUUUCUAGUCGAAGUCGCCAUCAAAUUCAUCUUCUCAUGUAACUGUUCCAGUAGGGCAUUUGUUUUAUAGAAAGCGCACAACAGAGCUUCUGAAUACAUUGUCCUGCAAGGUCAAAUGUCUGUUCCCACGAUUGUAAUCUGUAACAGCUGCCGGCUCCCUGGAAUUGGUUACAGUUUCACAGUCUCCCUCUAGGGGGAAAGCUUCUAUUUGUUCUUGCAACAAAGUUUCCCUUUUUGAGAUAUUUUGUCAAUAUUUGUUCCUUUAAAAUGCGAAAGGAAACAGUGGAAUCACUAUGUUUCUCUUCUUUUAGCUAUCUGUCAAAAAUGUUUGUCUCUGGUCAAUGAGCUUCAAACGUCAGUCCUGACACCCCGCUCCAGGAUCAGGACGGUGGAAAGUUACUUUACUUUAAACUCACUUUAAACAGUCCGAAAAAGAUCCCCCUUCUUCUCCUGCUGUCGAAGGGGGGUUCCACAAUUUUAAAUGAUGAAAUCCAAUCCUUUAAAGGCGAUUUUCUAAGCUCUAGUUUACGUUGUCUUUGCUUUAUUCUGUCUACAAAAGAACGGAAGGCUGACUUCCUGUUUAGACCUUCCCGUUCAGUACCAAAUUGAAAUAAAUUUUUAAAUCCAAUUCCUUUCUGCUCGCGAGUCCUUAUUUAAGGUCCAGUUGUUCAAAGUUUAAGUACUCACGGGUGCUUAUUUUAGAGUCCAAAUUGUCCCAGAAAAGAGGCAGCGCUCUCCGGCAACAGCUAUGCGGCUUCGCUCCACGGAAAUAGCAGUUGACUCACAGCACUGCGCCACUUCCCUCUCUUCACUUCGGAGCCCGUUAAUGGGUUCCUUUGCGAGUUGGGGGGGCGCUAAAGGUGCCCGCCGAGUCCCAUGGUCACAGGCUUCAUCCGCCUGUGAUUUUUAGAAGGGUCCCCGCUUCGCCGUAGCGGAGAAGACCCGUUUCCCGCGGAGCUAGUCCCUCCAGUUCAGAGGAAGUCCGCCAUUGCCGAUGGCGCCACCCCGGAAGUCCUAUUUUAUCGUGUUUUCACUCUUCUGCUGGGAGCUGCUCAGAGUGGCUGGGGAAACCCAGUCAGAUGGGUGGGGUAUAAAUAAUAAAAUUAUUAUUAUUAUUGUUGUUGUUGUUGUUGAUGGGUGGGGUAUAAAUAAUAAAAUUGUUGUUGUUGUUGUUGUUGUUAUUAUUAUUGUUGUUGUUGUUGAUGGGUGGGGUAUAAAUAAUAAAAUUGUUGUUGUUGUUGUUGUUGUUGUUGUUGUUAUUUAUUACAGACCAGCCAUGCUUGGAAGUUGUAUUUAAAUGUAAGCAACUGCCCUUUCCAUAUUUGAAAAACCCACACACUUCAUAAAGCUGAUUGGUCUACAUGUCAUUUAGGAGAAGGAAAGUGCAGCCCUUUCUUCUGAACUGCAGACAGUGGAAUGCAUUCCUCCUGUCAUCACCCUGUUUUUAUCAAGGGGCAAGAGUUAAGCCAGGUUGAGCCCAGUGUGUCCCUUCUGUAGCGUAUGCAUACAGAAUUAGCAUAUGCAUACAGAGAGCACAGCUCUGUGAGGUAGGACCAUCAUCUCUUUGUAUUUAGGUUCACUGGCAAACAGUAGCCACUCACUGAGCUUCCUUUUGCCCUACCACUGCUAAGGACUCUAGACAUAGCCAGGGGUCAGAGCUGAGGAAUACAUGGAAACACAUCAGCACCAAAACCCAAACAUGUUGGAGCAAAGUCAACAGAAAUAGAGACAUGCAGCCUGUUCCUGGUUCACUUGGCAUUCGGCUGCACUCCCAGCUCCUCAUAACAUCAGGGCCUUGUGUCAUGUUGCUUAUGUGAUGUCAGGAUGUGUGUUGGGUCCCCCCAAUCCUCUGGAGAAGCUGGACCAACAUGCCUGAUCAGUUAUGUAGUGGGAAUCAGGCAGUAAUAAAGGACAUUAAACAUUGAGCCCAGUGGGCUUGGGGCCAUUGCAUGACAUAUACAUUCAUUUUCAUCUGCAGGAUUCACGUGAAAUGAAGACGACUAUGUGAAGCUACAGUCCCAAGACAACUACAUGUGCUUCCUUUCUACUGUGCUGGCCAUUGACGACAUUGAAUGUUUUAAGCCUCAGAUGCCAUCUUAAGUUCUUGUUGUCAGGUGCUCCUUUGUAUUCAGAUCAGGCCUCAGCAGAAUAAUGUAGCACUUGGGGAGGAAGAUGCAGCCCAGGAGCCCAGCACUGGAGGCCAACAUAGAGAAGAUCUGCACGGCCACCAUGUACUUGCCCUUGGUGCUCAGGUAGGUGGGCACAAAAGACACCCAAACACUGCAGAAGACCAGCAUGCUGAAGGUGAUCAGCUUGGCUUCGUUGAAGGAGCCAGGCAGCUUCCUGGCUAGGAAAGCCACCGUGAAGCAGAUGGCAGCCAGGAAGCCCAGGUAGCCGAGGGCAACAUAAAACAUGGCCACAGAGCCUUCGUUGCAUUGCAAGAUGAUCUCUUCCACCUGGGAGUGCAUGUCGGGCUCUGGGAAUGGGGGAGAAGAGCCCAGCCAGAUGGUGCAGAUGAGAACUUGCACACCAGAACAGGAGAUGACAAUGGAGUUGGCCAGACUCUUCCCUAGCCAUCUCCUCACCCUGUUCCCUGGCCUUGUGGCCAGGAAGGCCAGCACCACCGUGAUGGUCUUGGCCAAGAGAGAAGAAACAGCAACGGAGAAGAUGAUGCUGAAGGCCGUUUGUCGGAGAAGGCAGGUCGCUAUUCUUGGUUGCCCAAUGAAGAGGAAGGAGGACAAACAGGAAAGCAGGAGGGAGGCGAGCAGGAUGUAGGAGAGGUCCCGGUUGUUGGCUUUGACUAUUGGGGUUUCUUUGUAUUUAAUGAAGAUUCCUAACACAAUGCCUGCUGUAGAAGAUAAGAAGAGGACAAUGGAAGCUAAGGUGAUCCCCAGAUGUUCUUCAUAAGCCAGGAAGGUCACAGUCUUGAGGACACAUUGAUCUCUGUCCUUGUUUGGAUGCUGAUCUUCUGGGCAUUUGGUGCAACGUUCUGCAUCUGAAAAAGAGAAUAAUAGAAUCACAGAACUGUAGAGUUGGAAAGGAAUCCUCUCAUGCAGGAAUAUGGAGUUGUUCCAUAUGGGCAUCAAGAGUGGCUUUUUCAAAGUCUAUGCUGAUGUGGCAUAGGAGAUAAGAAUGUGUAAAUAGGUAAAGAGAGGGGGAAAUAGUCUGUUGGUUUUAGAAAAAUGUUUGCCCUUUUUAUUUUGCCUUUCCUCCAGGGAGAUAGAGGGGGUGCACAAUCUUAUUCUCAUUUUAAUCACCAAAGCAACACUGUGAUUUCGGAUUAACUGAGAGGCAAUGGCCUCCACAUUGGUUUACUGCAUUAUAUGGUUCCUGCGUAAUCCUGAAGACACAUUUGUUUAACUUAUCCUUGUUAAUGCAAACAGUUUUCUAUUGCUUCCAUGCAAUUCUCAUACUAGUGAGAUCAGAAUAGUCCAUCUAUUGCAUUGUAAUCAUUUUCAUAUACUGUAUCAUUUAUUUUGUAUUACGCUUUUACUGUGUUAAAAAUCUGCCACUUCUCAUCAUUUGUUAGUUCUACUUAAUCACUUUCGAAUUUAGAAAAUUUCCUUUUUAGUGCUGUUCUAGUUCCUUUAUCAUUGAAAGCUCAGUAUAAAAUAGCAAAAAGCAAUGAUACCCACUUUGAACCCCAGUGAUUGCUGACUUGUGGCAUUUCUUUCAAAUCAUUUCAAAUGUGCAUUCAGCAAUGUCUUCAGAAUUCCCACAAAAAAUGUACCUGAAUGAAUCUCCGCCCUGAAUUUAUUCUCCCAAGGAGUCUUUCCCUUAGAGCAACCAACCUGCCUGAGUGGAGAACGCCCCUUCUGCACAUGGAACGCAAGCAUAGCAGCAAACAGGCUUUCCUUCUUGAACCACCUUGGCAUAUCCAGGUCGACAUCUUCCAGUACACCUGGAACGAGGUGCAGCCUAACCAUAGAGAGAAGAAGAUGUAUUGAGGGGAAAGUGUCCGGAGUAUUUGUGCAGAUGGAAUUCCCUCAUAGAAUUUGGAAAUGACCCACCAAACAGGAUCUCUCAUCCCACUCACCCCAUCCACUCUGGCGGAGAAUCGUUUUUGAUGCAGAAUAGCAUGGCAGGGAGACCACUUGGGUGUGUUUGCUUGCUUGUUUUAACAUUUAUAUCACACUUUUCUAUACAAAGGUCUGCUCAAGGCAGGAGACAAAAUAUACAUAAAGCAGAUAGCAAUCCUAGAAUCACAGCAUUAAGAAAAGGGCAGCUACAGAACAAACUGAUGACGAUUACUAAUUGAAAAUACUGACACCUGAAUACAGUAAUGAAAAACUGACUCUUGGAUCAUUAUUAAAAUAAAUUUUGAGUCCUGGGAAAGAAGGGGAGAAAUGAACCUCUUGUGGGAAGCUCCUACAUAACAGAGAAGUUCCCCCUCUGGCGAUCAUAAUCAUCAUCACUGCUAUCAUCAUCCUCUGACCUUUCCUCCAAUGAUCACAAGGUGAUUUCUGCAGCUUUCUCCCAUCUAAUUUAAUAUCUGAACAGCCCUGCAGGGGUUGCAAGGCAGAGGAUGUUCAUGGCAAGAGAGCUGGCCCAGGCUGCUGAGGACCCUUCUGAAAGGUUGGGUCCAGUGGCCCAUGAUUUUCCCAUGGCCUGCAGUGAACCCACACUUUCCAGGGGUUCAUAACAUGAGGAGUCAUGUUAAAGCACCAUUGGCUGACCACAAAAUGACAUUUUACAGCAGUUGCUCAAGGAAGAGCCUAAGCAGGCUCUCCUACCCUCUUCGUCUGUUACACCCCCUACCUUGUUAAAUUUAUUAGGCCACUCAAUAGCUUCUGGAUUAAUGGUGAACUUUAUUACACUCGAUUCCUCUCUCCUGAUGCCCCCAAUGUUCACCAUCGCACGAGACUCAUUGGGAAACAUCACCAAAUUCUUUAUAUCAAAGUCAGAAGGCAGCUCCCAAUUCUCAUCCAAACAAAGUCUGCCCCUGGAAGUAUUGAAACACUGAAUUUCAUUUAAGAAAGGAUGAAGCUGGAACGACAGGGAAGGCAGUAUUAAGAAACCAUGUUGAAUAUCUUAGUUCUACUGACUUAUAAACUGGGGCUAAACUCAUCUAGACUAGAAGCCCUAUUCAGGCAUUUCAUUUGAUUGAUUAAAGCAGGAGUUUUCAACCAGUGUGCCAUGGCACCCUGGGGUGUCAGGGGAUGAUAGUCAGGGGUGCCGUGAGCAACACUGGCCUCCAUCCCUCUUUCCUUCCCUCCUUCCUUUGUUGUGCCCUCUUGCAUCUCUGCCUCCCAAAGGCUUGCACAGCUGUUUGUUGCAGCGGCUACAAGCUUGUCUACAAGCUCCCCAGACGAAUGGUGCCUCUGGGGCUGGCCAGGGGGUGCUGGGUGCCAGGAGCUGAGGUGCCUUGGAGUAGGCAAGCAGGUGGGCGAGGAAGCCCAGCCAGCCAGUCCACCAGCCCUUGCUUUGUGGAAGGGACAAAGAAGUGGGAGGCCAGGCAGGCAGGCACCACACUGGCCUUUCUUGUGCUUGUGGGACCACUAAGGCUGGGGGCAUCCUCUUUCCAGGCCCCCAUGGGGCCGCAUGAGGAGUCAUCUUUCUUUGAGGUGGGGGGUGGCUCAGGGAUCAGGGACGGCUGUGGGGGCUGCCUGCAGGACUCCCAAGGAGAAGGGACAGAAGAGGAGAGGAGGCUGAGGGAACACUCCACAAGGGAGGGUAUUUGAAAAGGGGCGAGGGGCUGCCUGAUCUGCAGGCAAAGGUUGAAAUAACUGGGCUUCUGAGGUCUGGAGCUUGUUUCUCCACUGGUGAGCCACAGAAAGAAUGUGGCUCGUCAAGGGAGCUGUGGACUGAAAAAAGGCUGAAAACCUCUGGAUUAAAGUAUUUGUAUAUGUCAAAGCUGCCUCAAGUCUCAGCUCACAAAAGACCAACGCCUAUGUCUUCUUAUAUACAAAGGUGUUUAUUGCAGUUCAUUGUUUGCUUGACAUCCUAGGCGCGCAGCCUUACGUCUCUUACGCUUAGACCGCUGAAGUCCCCUCUGAGUCAGUCCCUCCCCUGCACCAAUUUAAGAGACUUGCGCUGCUCCACCUCUUUCUCUCCUUCCUUUUCCGCAGGGUCCUUCUGCCCACUGGGGUUUCGCCCCUCCUGGAUUCCUCUGACGCUGAAUCCCCAGACUGCUCUUCCCCCCUCCUGCGGGCUUUGGGACCUGGCCCCUCCUCCGGGCUCCCUGUACUUCCGCGCACCUCUACAUUUGAACUAGGCGCGCGCGCCAAACCUCUAACUUUCCUUUUGACAGUUACACUACUCCCUUCACUGCUCCCUCCCCUUCCGGAAGGGCGGCUUGCUCUGACCUCCCUCCUUUCUCUGCUCCCGGAGCUGCUUCCUCUGACACACUGGAAACUCCACCCCCUUCGCUGCACUCUGGUGGGGAGGCUGGUCCUGACGCCCAGCUGCCACUUUGGGAUCCUCCGCUGGCCCCCUGCUCCUGACACGUCCCCCCUGGGGCUCCCUGGCCUUGACCACCGGCGCCCCUUCUGGGAAUCCUCUGAUUCGCUGGAAAGACUCAUGGAAUCUCUUGAGUCAUUGUCAUCCUCUUCCUCGCUGGCUUGGAAUUCCUCCCCAUCGCUCUCCAUCUCCUGCCUACCCUGUGCCUCUCUCCCUGAACCCCUGACAGCAUAAUUAUAAAAUAACAAGGAGCUUUGAAGAAUGAGAUUAAUACAAAUGACAAUACUAUUUUAAAACUCACAAAGAACGUAGACAUCCAAAAUGUCUAACAGGCACAAUCCUAAAAAACAGUGCUUGGGAAUAAGUGCAUUGGAACGAGCAGAGAGAGCAGCAUUUCCACAGGAGUCCCUUUUAUCUCGAGUGAAGAUUAUUGCACAUUACGAGGGUAACUGCAGAGAAGGCCUGCACAGACCCUGCCCUUGUCAUCUGUGUUGUGCUUCCUUCGCGAGAGGUUCAGAAGGUGGCAACACGAGAGCGGCACUUUUCUGUGGAAGGGAGGCUUGCCUUCAUGACAUAUUUUUAAGUGCUGACAAAAGCAUCCAGACUGUUGGUGGAUUAAUCAAUCCAUGACCUUUUAAAUGAGUUUGUGAGAGGAGGGUUAUUGGUUUGCUUUUCUUAGUUUAUUGUUACAGGGUUUUUUUCUCAUUCGAUAUUUUUAUGCUGUGAUCUGCCCUGUGAUCUUUGGACAAAGGACAGUUAACAACAACAAUAACAGCAACAGCAGCAGCAGCAACAACAACAACAACAACUAGAAGAGUGCCACAAGGCAUGCACUACUCCCAAUCCCUGCAGAGCAGUAGUGAGAUUCCAAGGUGUUUCCAGGUGCUCCCCCAGGGUCAGGGUUCCUUUGAGAACCAAUACAAGUAGAGACUGCCAUAGCUUCAAGUUGAGACGGAGGGAGUCCAGAUCUUACAGCAUGGUCAUCUCAGUGGCAAAGAGCCCCACACAGUGGCCUUGCAUUGCAGAGAGAGCCCUCCUGAACCCGCCACUGGCCUUUGCAGAAACUUCUCCCCUUUCUCCCACUUCCACAACCCCUAGAAUUCCAAAGCACAGAUGUCAGGGCUGGCAGCCCUGACAACAGAUUUCUUUUGUGGCAUCAGACUCAGUAUACCUUGAUAGCCUCCCCUGCUGAGCCCUGUGGCCAGAGCGACUCUUUAUUUCUCUCAGUGUCUACAUUACCUUCCUUUUGUCUGGUUAGUGACUUGGGCAGGAGUAGCAAGGGGGGGGGGGCAGAGAAAGUGGGGACCUUCAGUUCUUGCAACUGCCUCAAUCUGGCCAGACCUUCAGAGAAGUGUUACUGGGACAAUGAGGGCAGAGCUGCUUCUGUUUCACUUUGAAUAAAGAGUUAAGUUUACUGGCUUCUGGUGAUUUCAUGUUUAAUUGCUGACUUACUGAUCCGAGCCUUGACACAAAAUUAGUAUAUAAAACCAUGGAAUGGAGACUCUCCAAGUGUCCCUAUUUUCUCAGGGACGUCCCUGAUUUAGAGAAGCCAUCCCGGUUUCUGAUUUGAUCCCCGAAUGUCCCACUUUUCCUUAGGCUGUCCCUAUUUUCGUGGGAGAAAUGUUAGGAGGGUAUGGAGUUAUCCAACCCCUGAGCCAUCUGAAGACAAUCCUGUAUAGGAAAGUGUUUUGGUUUUUUAGUGUUUAAUGUUUUAUUAUGUUUUUAUAUGUGUAGGAAGCUGCCCAGAGUGGCUGGGGCAACCCAGUAAGAGGUGUGGGAUAUAAAUAGUAAAAUUCUUAUUAUGGAAUGGGACAUCCCUAUUUUCAUCAGAGAAAUGUUGGGGGAUAUGACAUGUACAGGUUUUUAUAUGCACCGGAAUCCCAAAAGAGGGGUGUUGUUUUUUGCCUGACCUCUAAAUUGUAUUGUAGUUAGGAUGGUGGAUUGCAAUUUGCAAAACGGGGAAGAAAAUACCUGCCAUGGUUGUAGCCUUUGAUGUUCCCCCUUCUUUCCUUUUCCCACCAUCAGCAGCCGCUUUGAUCUAGAUGAAAAUGCAGCCUUGAAGGCCUGAGCCACAGCCUGAGCAGUGAUGUAAGUGCUGUAGCUGUCCUGAGACAGGGCUCUCUCCAGCUCCUCUUGCGGCAGAGCCUCCAGGUUCUCCUCCUCUCUGCAUCUUGUCUGGCCUUUCACAGACAACACAUGCUUUGAAUAUGAACAAUGAAACAUUUUCCCCAGAAAAUGCUGAAGAAGAUGGGAAAGUACUGCAUAGUAAUCACGUUUUGUGCUCUUUAUUCUGGUCUUCGUUACAAAGGAGAGAGACCCAUGAAUGUACUGGAAGUACAUAGGGGGAAUAGACAAGCUAAUACUGAUUUCCGGAAAAGAUGUUGUGAUCCAGACUUUCGCCCCUAUUUCCUUUUCAUACAUUUCUUGUAUCGACACAAUUUUGAAGAUUCCCACUGUGUCAGAUACAUAGCAAACAAAUACACUGACUUGUCUCCAGAUGAAAAAAGGUUCACCUGGGCUGAUCCUAAGUGCUAGAUCAUUUUCUUUUAUUAUUUUUGAUAAGGCAAUGCAAAUCCCUUUGCUGAUCAGCAGAGGUGUCAAGGCGCUCACAAACAUUUCUCCACUGUUAUUGUCCGGAGCCAAGAGGCCAAUCCACGUCCAUCCAAAAUGCAGGAGCAACUCGACAAUGCCUUGGUGCUGAGUUUUCUCUUUGGGGAGCAUCCGGUAGACAAAAGGGAACUGAGUUUUAUCUUCAAGACCCUGGGCAGUGAAGCCAUAACUGAUCUAGUGAGGAAAUGAAAAGAUUACUGUAUGCAUUUCAAAUUCUCUGACCUUCCAUACCCUACCCCUUCAUACCUGUGGGAUUUUGUAGAUGCUUGACAUGGCUGAAAUCUCUUUUGAGAUGGCAGAAUUUCCCCUUUCAAGAACAACUAGCAAGUCAUUUGGAUCGCCACAGUGAUAAUUGGGAAUAUUGCUUCCCCUGCCUGUAAGCAGCUCUAGCAUGGCAUCUGAAGUCAUCCUUGCAUCUGCGUAGUUCUCAUAGAGGCUGUAGCCCAGGGUGAUGUUGGGUAAGAGCCUGAGAUCCUGGUUGAUCUCCUGGAUGGUGAACAAGAAGGACGAUACGCGCCAGUAGAACCAAGGUGACUCUCUACAAUAAAGGAAUAAAGAAGUAUAAAGCUACAAUUCACAGCUGAAUGAAAACAAACAUUAUCUGACCAACAGAGAUUAGUAUUUAUUUAAUUAUCUUAUUGCAUUUAUAUCCAAUAUUUUUUCCUGUCCAUUAUACAAUAAAGAUUGGGCAAUUCAUGCUCCAUUACAGGAGAACAGACGCAGAGUCUCCAUGUAAUAAAACUGAUUAAAAAAUGAAGUUUGUGAAAUACUGUGAAGCCGCAAAGGUUGCUUUUGCUUCAGUGGUCUUGGCUGCUUCCCGGAGGAGCUGUGUAAAUUCCUCAGUUGUUCUUCAGAAGGAAAAAUGGGGGUCAAGGAGGAGGAGGGUUUUGCCAAAAAUGACCACAAAGUUAGAAAACAGUUGGUUAGGAACAAUUUGUGUCCUAGAGAGGAAGCAGAAAACGCCUCUUUAAUUACAGAUGAAGCCUGUGGUGUUGGAAAUGUGUGUGUGAAAAAAAUGAAUAUUUCUUGUUCACAUUUUAGAGAUCUGACUCCACUAACAAUUAAGUCAUAUUACCUGCAUUAUUUCAUUUGUUUAAUUCAAAGCAUAUUUUUUCCUGCUUUUCAGCAUGAAAAGUCACACAGAGGGUUUUAAAAUGUUUUAAACCGUUACAUUCCUUAAAGACAACUCUGAUUAAAUAGUUUAUAAAUUGUCCAAAUAGAAUAAUAAUAAAUAAAAUCAUUGAAGCUUGGUGACUGCCUGAGUUUUGUGCCACCCCGCAGGUGGGAUAAUUCAGUGCAUUCUUUUGAUUCCAGACCACAUUCAUUUACAUUAUUGUUUUACCACCUUCAAAAUGCAACACAGCAGCAUGAGUAGAGUAUUUUACUAGGGAAGACCCAGGGAACAAGUAAAUAGGAGAGGUUUUGAGGAGACUCUUUUCCCAGCUUCCAAAUCCCAUGAAGCCCAGCCAGUAGGCUACUGGUCAGGGAUGAUGGGGGUUCUAGUCCAGUGACAUCAAGAGGGCCCCCAGCCCCCCCAACUCUGAAAUAAGGGCUAUUUCCUUGAUAAAUAGGAACCACGGCAGAAGUACUGGUAAGCAUGACAUCCCUCUGUACAGGAUGACAUACUUCUCAGUGCUGGUGAAGGGUGUCUUGGAAAAGACAUAUGCAUCUUGAUUAACAAAAUGUUUUGAAGAUACAAUGCCACUAAUGAGAAAGUCACCAGCCCGGUAAUAGCUGCAAGCAUCAGUCUGAUCCCUGACCAGAUUCAAGGGGCAUUUUGCCUUCUGGUUCCUGCAGACUACAUGGUGCAUCGUUAGCAGCAGAAGCAGCAACAGAAGCAGCAGGGAUCUCAUUCUGGCUCUGCACCUUACACAUAUAUUCCUCUUUCCCCAGCCUUUCGCUUGCACUAAAUCAUGGCUCAGUCUGUCUCCGACACAGGAAAUAUCCUCUUCAGCAAUGUUUUCUUUCACUGUCACGGUGUCAUUAAUAUCAUGUUGUUGUUGUUUCUGAUGCUUAUGCAAUCUCCAGAAAUAUCUCUGGAGCUUUUAAAAGAAGAAAUCACUAUGAUUUUGAUAAUUACAAGUGGAAGAAGUUUCACCUCAAUAACUUUCUGGAGUUUUGAAUGGCUGAAGAGGCAGGUGCAGAGCUGGAGAAAAACAUGUUUCUCAUAUAUGUGGCAUAACUCAGUGUGUGUGUGUGUGUGUGUGUGUGUGUGUGUUAUUGGGGGGGGGGGAGUUUGGCCUGAACUUUUCUCACACAGACCUAAUGAGAGCCCUGCAGCUGGAUCAGACCAAAGACCCAACUAGUCUAACAGUCUGUACCUCAUAGCAGCAAAACAGACAGUUAGGGCAGGAGGGUCCCAAUGGGGCUGAUCCCGCUUUUUCAAGAGACUGGGAGGGCUUAAAUCUUUAACAUGCUGCUAGCCAUGAUGCCCAUGCUCUGCCUCCACAGGGGGAAAUGCUGCUGCGCUUCAGUCCAGCCAGGGCUUUCAGCUGAGGCAUUUGGUUGGUCCCUGUGAGACCAGGAUGUGGGUUAAUGAUGAGUCAUUGGUCUAAUCCAACAGCCAGGCUCUUCCUAUAUUCUCACUGUUUUAUUUCAUAAUUGCAUUAUGUUUUGGUGCCAUGGACACGUUUCAGGGGAUAGAAAUGUCAAUACCAAAAAUAAUACAGAAUCAUCAUCAUCGUCAUCAUGUGUGUUUCUUAUACCCUACCCAACCACUCUGGGUGGCUUCCAACAAAAAUACAGGGAACUGUUGAGAUUCAAGCCUUUAUCAGGAGAAACUGGCAACUCUCCCAGGCACCCGGCUUGGUCUCCUGUUGACCUCUCUGUCUGCUUUCCCGGCAGGAUCCAGGCAGAGGUCGCGAUAGGCGAUCCUUCUCAGCGUGAGAAGAACACCCCCCCUCUUUGUUGCCCCCCCAGCAGGGGAAAGAGAUAGACAGAAACGUAUUUACAUGCCUUUAUUUCUGUCUUUGCAGCAUUACAAAAAAACAUGACUGCUCUCUUCAAACUCCAGCAGUCGAGAGAGCAAACACUUCCUGUACAGCUCAUAUUACACUCUGAGCUAAUUCCGGUGCCCUCUGUUUCCCACGGACAGUCCCAACAUCAUGUGAUGUUUUCAAACAAGCAGCUCGCAGCAGCAUUGUUUCUAUAUUGUAACAGGAACAACAACAACCUGAAAUGGGUCAGUGCAUCUGGCUGUUAACCAGAAAUUUGUUACUUCAACCCUACCCAGGGAUGGCUGUGGGAAGGUUUCCUGCAUUGUAGGGGGUAAGACUGGAUGCCCCUUGGUGUCCCAUCCAGCUUUACAAUACUAUGACUGUGUUUACACAUUAAAAGCUUCCCAGGAUACGGCUGCCUUCAGAUGAAAAUUUAUAUAGUUCCACAAACCUUCUGCCUGGUUCCCUGUAAUCUCACUGUGAGGGAAGCACCAGAAGGCUCUCAGAGCUGGGCCUCAGUGUAUGGGCUGACCAAGGGGUGGGGACACUCCUUCAGGUACACAGGGCCGAAGCUGUGAGGGACUUUAAAUAUCAACCCCAACACUUUGAAUUGUCCUGGGAAAUGUACUGGGAGUCAUUGUAGAUCUUUUAGCCCAAAUGUGAGAAAACCAGAACAUGUAAUACUCUGACGAGACAGUGGCCAGGAAGGUAGAGUUUCAGCUGGCAUACCAGAUGGAGUUGGUAGACAGUCACCCUGGACGCAGAGUUGACCUGCGCCUCCAUGGACAGCUGUAAAUCCAAAAUGACCCCCACACUGUGUGCCUGGUCUUUUAGUUUCCCCACACCUGCUCGUCCCCUGUCUCCCAGAAACAGUACUUCUGUCUUGUUGGGAUUCAGUUUCAAUCCAUUAACCAGCCCCACCCUCCAACUGCUUCCAGACAUUCACAUAGGACCUUCACUGCCAUUACUGGUUCCAAUUUAAACAAGAGGUAGAGCUGAGUAUCAUCUGAAUAUUGAUGAACACUCAGCCCCAACCCGCUGCUGAGGUCUCCCAGUGGUUUCAUAUAGAUAAGAAGGAGGGCAUCUCACAUCUUAUUUGGUGAGUGGGGAGAGGUAUGUCCAUCUUGGCCCCUUCUUCGGGUGACUCCUACAUUUCUGUGUUGAAGAAGGAACAAAUUUCUGCCAUUUUUAGCUGGGGGGGGUGUCGAGGGAGGGACCACCCUUUCCUUUAUGGAGCACAAUGUGGCUGUGCAUCUAUGCAGCUUGGACUGUUAGAAUUUUGGGGCUUGGGUCAUCCCAGACGUCUUUUCAUGGAGAACUCACUGGGGGCUUCUGGGGGUGGUUUUAUCCUCUUUUGGAUGAAAGGAUCUUCUUUCUGCUUCCAUGGAGGGAGGUGUUUUGGGGAGAAUUUAUGGGCUGUAUCCCUUGAAAUAUGCCCCCUUUCUUCCUUUCUAGGCUUCUACUUUCACUCCAUUUGCAGUCUGUUCCUUACAGGGUAGGAACCAAGCUAAGGACUGCAAAUUCAUUAUUCUCCUAUACAUCCCAGCCUUGUGUUCCAUAUCCCUCUAAAGGAAAGCAGUGACAUGGUGGCUUCAAAGCAGCUUAAAGUUUAUUUCCACCACUAUCUGAAAGGCUUCUUCAACAGAGGGCAACUCUCUGGGGUAGGUUGCAGGGGAGAAAUAUUGUUCUGAGGCUGUCCUUUCCCCUUCAAUGUGUUUUGGAGAACACUUCUUGUCUUUUUCCAGGAACCCUUAGUGAGUACUCUUUGGGUUUGGUCAGUCAACCAGCUACGAAUCCACCUAAAAGUUACCACAUUCAACCCACAUUUUACCAUCUUCCUUGCAAGAAUACCAGUGGGGACUUUGUCAAAAGCCUUACUGAAAUCCAUAUACACUAUGUCCACAGCAUCCCCCUGAUCCACCAAGCUUUUUUAAAAAAAGAAAGAAAUGAGAUUCUUCUGGCAUGACCUGUUUUUGAGAAACCCCUCCUGGGUCUUAGUAAUCAUAGCAUCCUUUUCCAAGUGCUCACAGACCAACUGUUGAAUUAUCUGUUCUAGGACCUUUCCUGGUAUUGAUGUUAAGUUCACUGGUUGGUAGUUGCUGAGUCUUCUCUCCCCCUCCUUUUUAUUUUUUUUUGAAGAUGGGAACACUUGCCCACUUCCAGUCUGUUCUCCAAGAAUUCCCAAAGAUUAUAGCCAGAGGCUCUGAGGUUACACCCACAAACUCCUUUAGUACCCUUGGAUGCAGCUCAUCAGGCCCUGGAGAUUUGAAUUCAUUUAAAGUAUCUAGGUGUUCCCUUACCACCCCUUUUCGUAUCUUGGGUUGCAGCUCCCUCCUUGCAUCACUUAUUGUGUCAUCACCAGGUAGGGCAUCACUUUCCUUUUGGGCAAAGACAGAGGCAAAGUAGGUGUUUGUCACCCAAUAGCAUUUCUCUGUCUUUUCCCGCAGAAGACUUACCACUUGCUUGUUCUUCGUCUUACUUCGGACAUGGACAAAAAAACAUUUUAAAAAUUAUUUUUAACCUCUCUUGUAAGCCUGAGCUCAUUCUGAGCUUUAGCCAGCCUGACCUUCACUUUGCAAACUUUGGCUACUCAUGUAUAUUCCCCCUUUCUUCCAUUUCUUAUGCAGCCCUGACACAUGCCCUUCUUUAACUCUCAGCUCUUCUGUAAGUUCCUUAUGCAACCCCACUGGUUUCUUUAGAUGAGUCCCACUUUUCUUUCUUGUUGGAAUUGUCUGCAUGUGGGUGUAUGUAAGUCAAUUCAAAAUAGGGCAUUGACCUAAUGUGUGUCUAGUACAACUAUACUCAGAAGGAUACAUUUGAGCAAGGACUUCUUUUUAUUAAAGCACUAAUAUUUUAAAAUAUCAUGAUAUGGACUUCCAGUGAAUUUUCUAAGUGAGCAUAACAUGGAGAUGAACUUACAUUUUCUCGCUUUUUCUGGCCAUUAUUUGCUCUCUGUUGUUCAGAUCAGGCCUCAACAAAAGUAUGUAACAUUUGGGGGAAAAGAUGCAACCCAGUAAGCCAGCGCUAGAGCAUAAGAUGGAGAAGAUCUCCACGGCCACCAAGUAUUUCCCUUUGGUGCUCAUGUAGGUUGGAACAAAGGACAACCAAACACUACAAAACACCAACAUGCUGAAAGUGAUAAAUUUGGCUUCAUUGAAACUAUCGGGUAAUUUCCUGGCCAGAAAAGCCACAAUGAAGCUGAUUAUGGCCAGGGAACCCAUAUAGCCCAAGACACAGUAAAACAUGGUAGAUGCACCCUCAUUGCAUUCCAAUAUGAUCUUCCCAUUCAAGGAUUGCAUGUCCCUGUCUGGGAAUGGAGGGGAAGUACUUAACCACAGAGCACAAAUGGCAGCUUGAAUGAAGGUGGAGGAGAGGACAAUUGAAAUGGUCAGUCUUUUCCCCACCCAUUUCCUCAUCCCAGAUCCUGGCUUGGUUGCCAUGAAUGCCAGAACCACGGUGAUGGUUUUUGCCAAUACGCAGGAAAGAGCCACAGAGAAGACAAUGCCAAAGACCAUUUGGCGUAGAAGGCAGAUCCAUUUUCCUGGCUGCCCAAUGAAGAGCAAAGCACAGAGGAAGCAAAGAAGAAGGGAGAUGAGGAGAGUGUAAGUGAGGGUCCGGUUGUUGGCCUUGACGAUGGGCGUGUUCCUGAGUUUCACAAAACUUCCCAGCACUAAAACUGUGAUGAAAGAGAAAGAAAUGGCCAAGAUAGCCAAGAUAAUCCCUAAAUUUUCUUGGUAAGAGAGGUAGUUUAGAACUUUGGGAAUACAUUGACUGUAGUCCUUGCUGGGAUACUGGUCUUCUGGACAAUUGAUACAAGCUUCCAUAUCUGAGGGGAGGAAUGAAAAGCUGGUUAUUUCUAGACAUUUACCAAUUAUUACCUGAACAGUACAUUAGAAGAGUCAGAUUCAUUUUCUACCUUCCUGAAAUUCUUUUAACUACUUCAAGAAAAGCAUUCCCAGUAGUGAGAAUGAAUCUUUCUGUGUUCACGUGUUCAUGUUUGAGUUCAUGCUUUGUAAUAGCUAAAUGUUUCUCUGUGUGAUGGUAAGGCACAAUGGACAGCAAUUCAGUGUAAGAUAUUGUCAAGGCUGCCUCAAGUCUUAGCUCACAAAAGACCAACGCCUCUGUCUUCUUAUAUACAAAAGUGUUUAUUGCAGUUCAUGGUUUGCUUGACAUCCUAGGCGCGCAGCCUUACGUCUCUUACGCUAGACCGCCGAAGUCCCCUCUGAGUCAGUUCCUCCCCUGCACCAAUUUAAGAGACUUGCGCUGCUCCACCUCUUUCUCUCCUUCCUUUUCCGCAGGGUCCUUCUGCCCACUGGGGUUUCGCCCUCCUGGAUUCCUCUGACGCGGAAUCCCCAGACUGCUCUUUCCCCCUCCUGCGGGCUUUGGGACCUGGCCCCUCCUCCGGGCUCCCUGCACUUCCGCGCGCCUCUACAUUUGAACUAGGCGCGCGCGCCAAACCUCUAACUUUCCUUUUGACAGUUACACUACUCCCUUCACUGCUCCCCUCCCCUCCGGGAGGGCGGCUUGCUCUGACCCCCCUCCUUUCUCUGCUGCUGGAGCUGCUUCCUCUGACACACUGGAAACUCCACCCCCUUCGCUGCACUCUGGUGGGGAGGCUGGUCCUGACGCCCAGCUGCCACUUUGGGAUCUUCCGCUGGCACCCUGCUCCUGACACUUCCCCCCUGGGGCUCCCCUGGCCUUGACCACCGGCGCCCCGUCUGGGAAUCCUCUGAUUCGCUGGAAAGACUCAUGGAAUCUCUUGAGUCAUUGUCAUCCUCUUCCUCGCUGGCUUGGAAUUCCUCCCCAUCGCUCUCCAUCUCCUGCCUACCCUGUGCCUCUCUCCCUGAACCCCUGACAUCCAUCCCCCUCGAAGCCCCCUUCCCCCCUCCCGCUGCUCGGGCGCAGGUUCCGGGAGCUUCGUUGUAGCGGGGGUAGAUGCUGGAUACAGUUCGUCGACGUCGAUCUCCUCUGCUUCCAGUUCAGUGUAGGAGUGCUCGAAACCAGGGUCCUCCCCCAACACCUCCAAACCCUUCCCUCCCCCUGUUACUUCAGGCGAAGCUGCUUGCCAAGGCCCCCUUCGCCACCCCACUUCUGGUUGAUCGUCCCACCAAUAAGAGCGGUCCGUGUCUACCCCCGAGCACGAUCCCCUUGGAGGGCUCGAUUGCGGCGUGGUCUCCUCUGCGGAGGAGAACCCCCGGAAGGUGCUGCCUGAAAGUGUGGGGGUAAAGCCAGUCGUCAAAAUACUCCUCUGGCAUGGGCCUGUGUGGGAAGAGUGCAUGGAACUCGUCCUUAAGCAAAGGUUCCUCCAGAGCAUAAUCUGGCACCCAACUGUUGGCGCUGGCCGGGGUACCUUCCCUGGCGAGGAGGUAUUCCACUCCCUCCUCCCCCCAUCUCGAGUCCAGAAUUUCCGUGACCUCGUUGAGUGUCGGGGUCCUCGGUGACUCCCCCCCCCCUGGUGACUUCCUACGUGGGUCUGGUGCCGUCCCUGGCUCCUGAAAUCGGUGUGGGGCCUUGUAGGGUGUAAGCACCGACCUAUGAAAGACCGGGUGCAUUCGGGAAUCCUCUGGGAGGGUCAACCGAAAGCUACGGGAUUGAUCCUGCCCUCAACUUGGUAUGGCCCUAGCUGUUUGUGUCCUAGCUUCUUCUUAGCUAACGACUUGGCCGGCACCGCCUGGGCUGCUAACCAUACCCAGUCCCCCACCUGGAUGUCUUCUCCUGCCCUCCUGUGCCUGUCUGCCUGCACUUUGUAGGCGUGUUUAGCCAGUUCCAAGUGCCGUCGUAGCUCCUCGUGGACCUCCUGCAAUUCUGCUGCUAAAUGUUCCGCUCCCUGCGACUCCCCCUGUGUCGUUGUCUCCAACGCCGGGAAUGUUCUGGGAUGUCGCCCAUUGUUGGCGAAGAACGGUGUCACCCCGUUGACGCGUGCUUCGUGUUGUUGUAGGCAAACUCGGCCAUCGGUAAGUAGUCCACCCAAGUUGCCGGCUUCUGAUUGGCGUAACAGCGCAGGUACUGCUGCAUGAUGGCGUUGACCCUCUCCGCUUGGCCGUUGGUUUGCGGGUGUCUCGCCGACGCUAAGUUGAUCUUGACAUUCAGGAUGCCCAGGAGCUUCUGCCAGAAACUGGAAAUGAAUUGGCGACCCCGGUCGGACAAAAUGGACCGUGGUAAGCCGUGCACCCGGAACACGUGGUCUAUGAAUAGCCUGGCGGUCUGCUCCGCUGUUGCCACCUUCGCGCAAGGAAUGAAAUGCGCCAUCUUGGUGAACAGAUCUACAACCACAAGCACCGCCGUCUUGCCCCGCGAACUGGGCAGAUCAGUGACAAAGUCCAGCGCCACCCUUUCCCACGGCUGCAGUGGCGUCUCCAACGGUUCCAGCAAUCCCGCUGGCUUCUUGUGCACUGGCUUGGACCUCUGACAAGUGUCACACCUGGCGACGUAAUCCGCGACUUCUCCCCGCAUCUGGGGCCACCAAAAGUCCCUGGCUACUAAGUCCGCCGUCUUCUCCUUGCCGAAGUGACCCGCGCUCGGGGCGUUGUGUAACUGCUGUAAAACCUUCGCUCGGAGAUCGUCUCCCGGGACGUAGAGAGCACCUUUGCGGGUCAGCAGGCCGUCGCGUAUCUGGAAUUCGCCGUCCUUUGCUGUCCCUCUUCGCACCUCCUCCAUCUUGGAUUGUGCAAACGGAUCCGUCUGUAACGCGCGUCGUACCGCGUCCAGGUCCACGGCGGCAGAAGCGCACGCCCACGCUUGCGGUGCAAAAAUGUGCCUGGCUGCCACUGGUGCCGCUUCCUCAAGAUACUGCGGUUUCCUGGAGAGCGCAUCCGCUAUGACGUUGUUGUCUCCCGGGAUAUACUCUAUCCGGAAAUCGAAAUCCGCAAAGAACUCCGCCCAUCUCAUGUGCCUCUGGCUCUGGAGCUUCGCCGUGCGCCAAUACUCUAGGUUCUUGUGGUCCGUGCGGACCUGCACGGUGUGCUUGGCUCCGAUGAGGAAGUGCCGCCACGCCUUGAAAGCCGCGUGGAUGGCCAACAACUCCCUGUCCCAGAUGGUGUAGUUCUGUUCCGACUUGCUGAGCUUCCGGGAAUAGAAAGCGCAGGGCCUCCAGUUCUCUUGCGAAUCUUCCUGCAAGAGGACGGCCCCACUGCUCUGUCAGAUGCGUCAGUCUCAACCCGCAUGGGCCUGCCGGGAUUCACGUGUAGCAGCUGGUCUUCGGACGCGAAGAGACUCUUAAGUCUCCUGAAGGACUGCUCCGCCUGGUCCGUCCAGGUGAACUUUUUCUUCUUGGAACUGAGGGUGUCCGUGAUAGCUGCCGUCUCUUUCGCGAAACCCUGAUGAACUUGCGGUAAAGUUGGCGAAGCCGACGAACCUCUGGACCUCCUUCCGAUUGCGCGGGCUAUUCCAGUCCAACACCGCGCGGACCUUGGCGCUGUCCAUGGCUAAUCCCUUGUCGGACAGCCGGUAGCCCAGGAAAUCCACCUCCGUCACGUCGAACUGGCACUUCUCCAGCUUGGCAUAGAGUCUGUGCUCCCGUAGCCUCUGCAAGACCUCCUUUACGUCUCUUUCGUGAGUCUCCUGCGAUUCUGAGAAGAUCAGAAUAUCGUCGAGAAAGCAUACUGUCAGAGCUGCUUCCAGAUCCUAGCUCACAGAGGAUCACGCUAGCCAGCGAUCAUUAAACAAAAGUCUUUAUUGAGUUACAGUUUCCAUUCUCAAACUGCUGCGUGCAACUCUACGUCUCAUGGUUGGACCGGCGAAGCUCCGUCUGAGUCUCCGCCCCUUGUACACCAACUUAAUAUCCUAGCCCUGCUCCACCUUUUCCGCCUGACUGUUCUUCUCUGGGUCCCUCUGCCCCCUGGGGUCUCUUCUUUCCGGGAUUCCUCUGACGCUGACGCUGACCCCCCUGACUCUUCUCCCUCCUUUCGGCGGGCUUUAGGACCUGGCUCCCUUUCCGGGCUGCCUACUGUGCCACCUUCCUGUGCAUUUGAACGUGGCGCGCGCGCCCAACCUUCCACCUUCCGUCUGACCGUUUCUUCGCUCCCCGAUGGAGGUGUGGCCACUCCUGACUCGUGCCCUCCCCCCUGUUGUGAGCUGCCAGCGCUUGAUCCCUGGCUCCCUUCCUCUUCCCUGCUCUCUGGCGGUGACGCUGGUCCCGAUUUCCAACUGCUCCCUGCUGAGUCCCCUCUGGCUCUAUCUUCCUGGGGCGUCCCCUAGGCUCCCCCUUGCCCUGGCCACUGGUGCUCCUUUCUGUGAAUCUUCUGAUUCACUGGAAAGACUCGGAGAUCUCGGGUCGUCGUCAUCACUCAUCUUUUCUUCUGCCUCCUCCCCCUCGCUCUCUGUUUCCUCCCUUGCCCUUGCCUCUGCUCCUGAACCCCUGACACAUACGCACUUCUUGUAGAGGAGUCCUGCUAGCACGUGGUGCAUGAAUGCUUGAAAACAGUGGGAGCCACCUUGGAGACCAAACGGCAUAACUCUGUAUUCAUAGGUGCCCAGCGGCGUGAACAUGGCCGUCUUCCACUCGUCACCUUCCCUCAUGCGUAUGAGAUUGUAUGCUCCGCGUAGAUCCAACUUGGUGAAGAUCCUCCCCUUCCUCACCGUCGCGAGCAGGUCGUCAAUCUUGGGCAUAGGGAAAGCCUUGGGUUUUGUCAUCGAGUUUAUGGCCCUAUAGUCCACAAUGAGCCGUUUUUGGGGCGUGUCCUUCUUCUUCACGAAAAACACAGGACUGCCCCCCACUGCCUUGGAUUCUUGGAUGAAUCCCCUCUUCAAAUUGUGAUCUAUGAACUCCCUGAGCUCCUGCAUCUCAUCUUCAGACAUGGAAUACAGCUUCGCAGUCGGCAGCGUCGCCCCUGGUAAGAGGUCAAUUGCACAGUCGUAGGGCCGGUGGGGUGGUAAUUGGUCAGCUUCCUUCUCGCAGAAGACCUCCAAAAACCCCUUGUACUUGUGGGGCACUGCCUGCACCAUGCCUAGAUGCAGCUGUUGUCCUUCCUCCGUUCCCUCCUCGUCCUGGCCGAUCUGGAUGCAAUGUUGUGCACAGUAGGACGAGCCAAAGGUGAGCUGCCGCUGGUACCACGCCAAGGAUGGGCUGUGUCUAUCCAGCCAACUCAUGCCUAACACUAUGGGCGUGUCUGACAGUUGGGUGACAUUGAAACUGAUGACCUCGCGAUGAUUCCCAAUUUUCAGCAGCAUGGGUGGCGUCUGUUGUACCACUUGCCCACCCAGCAACUUCCUGCCAUCUACAGUGACCACAUUCAGAGGCAGCGUGGCUGGUAGUAAGGCUAUGCGAUGCUGCUUGACGAACUGCACCCCCACGAAGUCUGCGUUGCUCCCUGAGUCAAUCGUAAUGGGGACUUCCAGGGUGAGUCCAUUAGGCAGCUGGAGAGUAGCAGUGAGCUGCACCACUGGCUUAGGUGGUAAGGGGUCUGUAGGCUGCAUAGGCGGUGGGGACUGCUUUGCUGAGUUGCCUGGCGGAGCCCCAGCGUCUCUCCCUCCAACCGGGCAUUCUCGUUUCCCUGAAACUGCUCCCCUUGGAAAGCUUACUGUUACUGUUGCUAAGGCUGCAGUGUGCUUCUGGAGCCUCUGGGGACACUCUUUAGCCAUGUGCCGUGCACUGUCACAGAUGUAACACUUCCUGGUCCCUCUAGGAGGCUUCGCUUUGACUGCUCCUGACGCUGAGGCUCCGGCAGCUGUCUGAGCCUUUGCACCACCCAGUUCCAUCAGUUCUUCCCCAGCUGCCAGCACAGGCGAAAGGCUUGAACGUUCCAAGUCCCUGGAAGGAAAAGGAGGUGCUCUAGCUGGUGGGCGGACGUGACGCCCCUCCUCCCUGUGCCAAGGGCGUUCUUCUUGGCGCACCCCUAUCGUGAGUGCCCUCUGCACGACUUCUGCUAGGGUUUGAGGUCUGUCUCCCCUAGCCAGCUCAUCUUUCACUGAGCCAUGAAGCCCUUCCCAAAACAAGUCCCUCACUGCCAGGGAGUCCUUUUCCCAGCCCAGCACAUUCAGCAAUGCAAAAAAGCGAGAAUGGUACUGACGCACUGUAGCCUUGCCCUGCCGCAAUCCAUGCAUCUCCUGGCGUGCCACAUCAACGUCAACAGUAGAUUGGAAGCAAGCGUCCAUGGCUUUGAGAAAUUCAUCAGAGUCCCUGCGUGCAAGACCAUCUUCGCGCCACAAAUUGCGUAACCAGUUUCUUGCUUCCCCAUGCAGAUGAGACACGAUAAACCCCACUUUUUCCUCCUCAUCUUUGAAGUCUUUUCGAAGUAAAUGCAGUGCGUAUACGACGUCUGCUCUGAAAUUGGGAUAAUGCUUCAGGUUCCCAUCGAAGUGGGCUACUAAAUUGCCCCCCCUCCGUCCGAGUCCGAUUCCCUCUGAUCUGGACCCCGGGAACCCCUCUCUGCACGCCCGAUCCCACCUGGCUUGCAGAUCCUGGCAUCGCGCUUCUGCUUCAGCAACUGUCUUCUGAGAAACCACGACAGCAGUGGAGAGCUCGGUGACUGCAGUUUGCAGGGACGCUAUCUGCUCCUCAGUAGUCAUUGCUGCCAAACUUCAUGAGCUGUGCAAAAAAAAUUUUGCGGUUUUUUUGUUGAGAGAGGGGACUUACUGUCAAGGCUGCCUCAAGUCUUAGCUCACAAAAGACCAACGCCUCUGUCUUCUUAUAUACAAAAGUGUUUAUUGCAGUUCAUGGUUUGCUUGACAUCCUAGGCGCGCAGCCUUACGUCUCUUACGCUAGACCGCCGAAGUCCCCUCUGAGUCAGUUCCUCCCCUGCACCAAUUUAAGAGACUUGCGCUGCUCCACCUCUUUCUCUCCUUCCUUUUCCGCAGGGUCCUUCUGCCCACUGGGGUUUCGCCCCUCCUGGAUUCCUCUGACGCGGAAUCCCCAGACUGCUCUUCCCCCUCCUGCGGGCUUUGGGACCUGGCCCCUCCUCCGGGCUCCCUGCACUUCCGCGCGCCUCUACAUUUGAACCAGGCGCGCGCGCCAAACCUCUAACUUUCCUUUUGACAGUUACACUACUCCCUUCACUGCUCCCCCCCUUCCAGGAGGGCGGCUUGCUCUGACCCCCCCUCCUUUCUCUGCUGCUGGAGCUGCUUCCUCUGACACACUGGAAACUCCACCCCCUUCGCUGCAUUCUGGUGGGGAGGCUGGUCCUGACGCCCAGCUGCCACUUUGGGAUCUUCCGCUGGCACCCUGCUCCUGACACUUCCCCCCUGGGGCUCCCCUGGCCUUGACCACCGGCGCCCCCUUCUGGGAAUCCUCUGAUUCGCUGGAAAGACUCAUGGAAUCUCUUGAGUCAUUGUCAUCCUCUUCCUCGCUGGCUUGGAAUUCCUCCCCAUCGCUCUCCAUCUCCUGCCUACCCUGUGCCUCUCUCCCUGAACCCCUGACAGAUAUACUCUUCAAAUAAAUAAUUACUAUGCUACAUUAUCGAAAAUUAUUAGUAUCUAUGUACAUAUAGCUUCCUACCCUCCUGGUUGGAGAUCGUCCCUUCUGGACACUGAACACAAUCAUAGCAGCAGAAUUUCUCUCCCUCCUUCUUUUUCUUGCUGUAGCCAGGAUAGCAGUAGUCAUUGCACAGAGAAACAGGCAGCACCUGUGCAGAAACAGGGAGAUGAGGAAUAAGAGAGAUGCCUUCUUCUGUAUCACGUGAAAGGGAGACUAAAGAAGAAGCCAACGGCUCAGCUCUGCCACUCCACCUCCACCUCCUGGGAGCAAGGAUGCCUUCUUGGCUGCCUUCACUGCCACUCGGUGGGCUUGAGGAUGAGCCUCACCAGGGUUGAAACUGCAUUCAGUAGACAUUAGAUAGACUACCUUGCUUCAGAAUGAAUAUAUUAUUUUACAUAUCAUGUAUCACAUUUUUUCCAGUUGAUUCUCUGCUAUUUUAUGCUUGAUACUGAAUUAUUUUUAAUCCUGUGCAUGAAGUUUACCUAAUUUUCUCUUGGUUUUUAAUGUCAUAUAUUAUUCAACCAGAAGGGCUUUGGGAGAGGAAAACAAAUGGAGGCAGUGGCUAAUUUUUCUCUGAUGGAACCAACUUUCUUUUUUCCAAAUAUGAUUGGAAAACUGUAACAACAUUCAAAAUCAAUGGUUAGAGUUAUGCCCUCUUGAAACCUAACCACAUUUUUUAAAAAAAUGGGAGGUUGAAAAGAGCACUUCUUGAGUCUCUCUCAUUUAGUCUCUCUCUCUCUCUCAUUCUUGAGUCUCUUCACUUAGAACUGAGCUGGCUUCACCAAUGGAGCAACAGGAACCAGGCGGCCCCAAGAGGGGCAGGGUUAAAUGAAGAGUAAGCAAGGAUCAGAUCUGAAUCAGCUUCCACAAAUUUGUUUCAUUGGUUUGGUGAGACUGACCAUUAAAAAUGCAUUAUUGUCAUCAUGUCCAGAAUUUGGAAAUACCUUACAAGAUGUUUGCACUAAGCCCUCAGCAACCCGUGAGACUGGAGGAGGAGAGAGAAUCAUCCCCCAAGAGUCGCUUGAGGCCAGAGGUUCGUCCCCAGCUCAGAGAACAGCAAGCGGUCCUUUUCAUUUCAUAUAUGGAAGUGUUUGCAGUUAUGGCUCACCUGUUUAGCUGCCAAACAAUUUAUAUUCUUUUACUUAGAAGGGAAGGAGCUGCUAUAUAUAUAUAAUGCUAACUAGAAUCAUUCAGAAGCUGAACAGCAUGUCAAAUGAUAAACUGAUUUAAAAAAUGGGUUUCCCCCCCUUUUAUAUACGCAAGUAUUUGUAGCUGUGUCGCACCUGAUUAAAUCUUGGAUGCCAAACAAUCAGGUCAUCAUGAAUGGUUAAUUCUUUGCCCAGAGGAGCCUGAGGUUCCAGUCCUCCAACUUUGACUCGAACCACAGAGCCAUUGGGGAACAUCACCCAGUUUGUAACAUCAAAUCCAGUAACUUGUUCACCAUUUUCAUCAAAGCGCACUGUGUCUCCAGCACUAUUAUUGAUUACCAUACUCUUUAGAAACUGAUGCACCUAGAUUGAACGAAAAUAUGAACAAGGGGAUCAAGGUACUGCAAUGAUUUAAGUGAGGUUCACAAAUGCCUCUCAUACUCAUUUUUUAUUUUAAAAACAUGGUGACUUGAUAUGCCUUGAUAUCAUUUUGGUUCCUUUAGUCGAAAACGGAACAUAAAAGAAAGCCCCACACAUUUGUUUAUUUUAAAUGGAAUUGGAUUCUGCAAAACUAGAGUGACUUUGGAACAAAAUUUAGCAUGGUUUUUUAAAAAAAGUUUUGAGUUGUAAUUACCUAUUAUAAACAACAAACAAACAAACAACAACCUUUGUUGUUUAUAAUAGUUUUAGAAGUAUUAGCACAAAUAAUAAGUUGCAAUCAAGAUAUUAAAGGUGUAAGAGUGGAACAGAGACAAUAUAAAUUAAAAGCAUUUGCAGACGACGUGGUGAUAUCUGUAGAUGAACCAAUAGAGUCAACCCCCAAAGUAUUACCAGAGAUAACAACAUUUGGUGAGGUAGCAGGUCUUAAGAUAAAUAUAAUAAAUAUAAUAAAUCUUAAUAAAGAAAAAAACAAUUUUUGGUUAAAAAUAUGAAGGAGGAGAGUAAAAACAAAUUACAAGAUGUAUCUGGUUUAAAAAUUGAAAGAAAGGUUAAAUAUUUAGGUAUAUGGGUAACAGAAAAUAAUAGAAAAUUUCUAUAAAGACAAUUAUCUAAAAACCUGGGAAGAUAUUAAAAGAAAUUUGCAAAUUUGGGACAGAAUGAAUCUUUCAUUAUUAGGUAAAAUGUUGACUAUAAAGAUGAAUGUGUUGCCAAGAAUGUUAUUUCUGUUUCAAAUUAUUCCAGAGAUUGGCAGGACAGAUUGCUUCAAUGCAUGGCAAAAAGAUAUUUCUAAAUAUAUUUGGCAAGAGAAAAACCCAAGAAUAAAAUAUAAAAUAUUGAUAGAUGCAAAAGAAAGAGGAGGUGUCCCCCUACCAGAUAUGAGAUUAUAUUAUGAGGCAAGCUGUCUUUGUUGGUUGAAGGAAAGGAUGAGGUUAGAGAAUUCACAUAUUUUACACUUAGAAGGUCAUGAUAAUAUUUUUUGGCUGCCACGCUUAUUUAUGAUACAAAAAGGUGAAAGUUCAUGAAACCAGAAGCUUUUCUUUUGGGAAUUAUAGGACAGAACUACCUAAAUUGUAUAGAAAUUUAUUUAUGUAUGUUACUACAGCUGCCAGAAUGCUGCUCGCCCCAAAAUUCAAAGAAGCAGAAGUCCCAGCAAAGGAAGAAUAGAUACAAAAACUUAUGGACUAUGCAGAUAUAGUGAAACUUACCAGAAGAAGAAUAAAUCAAGCUAACUUCUUAUAAAAGAAUGGAAAUGGUUUAUUGAAUAUUUACAGAUAAAUUUCAAACAGAUAAAACAUUGGCAGGAUUAUUGUAAUAACCUGCAGUUUCAUAAGAGUAUAUAUUUAAAGUAGAUAAUUAAAUGAAUUUGGAUAUGCAGAAGAUAUUAAAAAAUAAAUUUAAGGAAGCGCAGAAAGUGGGGGAAGGAAUUCAAGUUUUAUAAUGUUUAAAUGAUUGUAAAAUUAAUGAAAUGCAUCAAUUUGAAAAAUAUUAAUAAAAACUUUUUAAAAGAGUUGUAAUUACCUGCCAAGACUGCACAUUCUGAAAUGCCAGUCUGUCUCCUCCCAGUCUUCUGUGUUUGGUGAUGGAUUUGUAUAUAGCAUUCAAAGCAUGUGUCAGAGCAUAGACAGCAUUGUAGACAUUGUAGCUGUGGCCUGUCAUUUUCAUUUCAAAUAAAAUUCCAGGAAUGCUUUCCAAUUUCUCCUCCCCAGUGCAGCUUGUCUUCUCCUCUUCCUCCUGUCCUUUAGGCAGUUUUAAUGAACAGCUGAAGGAUUGUUCCCAGAAGUCCUGGAUAAAACCAUCUCUUUGGGCCCAGGAAGGUCUUAUCAUCUGAAGGAACUCUUGGAAUCCUACCAGCUGGUUUGAGUGAACAGUGAAGGUUAGGGAGCCAUGAAAGGUUUGUAUAUCAAACUGUUUGUGAAGCAAUUGUGAUGCAAAAUCCCAGUGGGAUGUAACAAGCCAGACUUUACCCAGAGGUGGUGAUGAAUAAUAUAAUGGUAUUCCCAACAGCAUAAUUCUCAAAAUCAUAAAGGAAGGAGGUUCUCCAUAAAUAAAUACUACAUUGGCUUUUCUCUGAAAGGCACUUACAUAGUUUCUCAGACUUUCAAUGCCUAAUUCUAGCAUUUCAUCCACAUAAUUCCAUUUUGGGAUUCUGACUAUGAAGUCAUAACAAAUAUGAUUCUGCGAAAGCAUUGGUACAAUUGUCUGUAAAAACUUGUCCCCUUUGUCAUCAUCCACAGCCAAGAGCCCAAUCCAUGGCCAUUUGAAAUGCUGAAGUAACAAGACCACUCCCUUGUGCUGGUGGGCUUCAUUUGGGACCAUCUGGUACAAAAACGGGAACAGCCUUUUGGCACCUUGUACUGGCAGAAAUGAUCCAUAAAUAAGCUGAAAUAAAAUGCAUGAAUAUUUUUUCAGAUGGAGAAGAUCAUGCUACACCUGUGAAUCACAGAGUUGCAGGGCCAUUUUUGAGAAGCAUUACAAGAUAAUUUUAAUUACAAUGUUCCAGAGAAUCCAGCAGGUUGUCAUGUUUAACAUCCUGCUUAGACUCAUAGAAUUGCAGCGUUCAGGUCCUACCCUCUGGAGCAGCAGAAAACAAGCUUGCUCCAUCUUCCAUGUUACAGUCCUUGAGAUGGGACCCCUGGAUCCUUUUCACAUGUACUGCUAGUAAGCUUGGUGUCCCACAUCUUAUACCGCUGCAGCUGGUUCUUCCUGCCUAAGUGCAGAACCUUACAUUUGUCCCAAUUGAAAUUCACUUUUAAGCUUGGUCCCAGGUCUCCAACCUGUUACAGUCAUUUUGAAUCACAGUUCAGUCUUCUGCAACAUUAGCUACCCCUCCCAGUUUGGUGUCAUCUGCAAAUUUGAUGAGCAUCCCCUCAAUUCCUUCAUCCAAAUCAUUUAUGAAGAUGUUGAACAACAACAGGCCCAGGACAGAACCCUAGAAUCAUAGAAUCAUAGAAUCAUAGAGUUGGAAGAGACCACAAGGGCCAUCGAGUCCAACCCCCUGCCAAGCAGGAAACACCAUCAGAGCACCCUGCAGCACCCCACUUGUCCCUUUCUUUCAGAAUGACAAGGAAUCAUUAAUGAGUCCUCUUUGGGUUUGGUCAGUCAACCAGCUACAAAUCUAUUUAACACUUAUCUUGCUCCACACAAAUUUUAACAACCUUCCUUGCAAGAAUAUCAUUGGGGACUUUGUCAAAAGUCUAACUAAAAUCACGAUACACUACGUCUACAGUGUUCUCCUGAUCUACUAAGCUUGUAACUCCAUAAAAAAAGAGAGAUUCGUGUGGCAUGGCUUAUUUUUGAGAAACCCAUGCUUGGCCUUAGUAAUCACUAUUCUGCCUUGGCCAGGCCAUACUUGGAAUACUGUGUCCAAUUCAUUAGAAAUGUUAAUAACCCUUCCACUUUUUUUACCAGCUGCACAUUGAUAUAGAUUCUUUCCAAUCUUUCAUCUGAGUCAUUGAUUCAAAAUUUCAGUUCAGUCCCAGAAUAUAGUUUUUAGGGGGACUCCAUUUAACCUCCCUCCAUUUGAUGUUAAGCCAUCGCUGAACACUCAGUGAGUACUGUUUUCUAAAGAGCUAUGUAUUCGCUAGAUAAGCUAACACUUAGUCCACAUUUAAACUGUUCAUUAAAGAAAAUAUAUCAGGGAACAUUUUCAAAGCUUUGUGGGCAUCUAGAUUGUGUGUCACAGUUGUGAAAUCUCCACACACUCAUGCACACAGCUUACCUGUGGAGUCUUGUAGAUGUCUGAAAUGAUGGCCAUAUUGGCAGAGAUUUCAGAGAUGCAUCCUCCAAUGAGAGCUAUCAGAUUGUUGUGGUUGUGACACUUGAAGUUGGGGACAAAGUGACGUUGUGCAGAAAAGAGGCUGAGGGUGGCCUUAUAGGUCAUCCUGGCAGUGUAGUAGCUGUUGAGGAUUUUGAAUCCAAGAGAGAUAUUUGAUAAGAUGUUGGGAUUCUCAUUGAUCUCUUUGACAGCAAAUGCUAAGGCCAGAACAUGCUGGUAGUUCUUUGGCACUGAACUGAAAAAGGUACAGCCUGUUUUACUGAAACAGCAGGAGCAGCAGCAGCAACAACAACAAAAUCAUCAUCAUCAUCAUUAUGAAUAAAAACAUAUUUAUAGAUUUCAUCCUUAGUUACCUGGAAG
Podarcis lilfordi (Lilford's wall lizard) is the source of this 32073-nucleotide non-coding RNA. NCBI's taxonomy places the organism in Eukaryota, Metazoa, Chordata, Lepidosauria, Squamata, Lacertidae. The record is from the annotation of a GenBank genome assembly.